Molecule: ribosomal RNA, 389 nt
Filed under: Clostridioides sp. ZZV14-6104
Lineage: Bacteria; Bacillati; Bacillota; Clostridia; Peptostreptococcales; Peptostreptococcaceae
Description: partial 23S ribosomal RNA
Rfam family: Bacterial large subunit ribosomal RNA
Source: RNAcentral
AAGAAAUUCGAUUCCGUAAGUAGCGGCGAGCGAACGCGGAAUAGCCCAAACCAAUAAAGUUUUCUUUAUUGGGGUUGCGGACAUAUCUUAAACGAAGAGGUAUCGUAAUUGAAGAGGUUUGGAAAGACCCACCACAGAAGGUAAUAGUCCUGUAUGUCAAACGAGAAAACUUCAGAUAUGAUCCAGAGUACCACGGGACACGUGAAACCCUGUGGGAAGCAGGAGGGACCACCCUCCAAGGCUAAAUACUACCUAGUGACCGAUAGCGUAUAGUACCGUGAGGGAAAGGUGAAAAGAACCCCGGGAGGGGAGUGAAAUAGAACCUGAAACCCUGCACUUACAAGCUGUGGAAGCACAUUUCUUGUGUGACCGCGUACUUUUUGUAGAAC